GUCCUAGUACCUCAGUUUGGAUAGAGGAAUCGCCUCCUAAGCGAUCGGUCAAUGGUUCAACUCCAUUCUAGGACGCCA
Molecule: transfer RNA, 78 nt
Filed under: Mycoplasma sp.
Lineage: Bacteria; Bacillati; Mycoplasmatota; Mollicutes; Mycoplasmatales; Mycoplasmataceae
Description: tRNA-Arg
Rfam family: tRNA
About the family: Transfer RNA (tRNA) molecules are approximately 80 nucleotides in length. Their secondary structure includes four short double-helical elements and three loops (D, anti-codon, and T loops). Further hydrogen bonds mediate the characteristic L-shaped molecular structure. tRNAs have two regions of fundamental functional importance: the anti-codon, which is responsible for specific mRNA codon recognition, and the 3' end, to which the tRNAs corresponding amino acid is attached (by aminoacyl-tRNA synthetases). tRNAs cope with the degeneracy of the genetic code in two manners: having more than one tRNA (with a specific anti-codon) for a particular amino acid; and 'wobble' base-pairing, i.e. permitting non-standard base-pairing at the 3rd anti-codon position.
Source: RNAcentral